Molecule: transfer RNA, 69 nt
Filed under: Ictidomys tridecemlineatus (thirteen-lined ground squirrel)
Lineage: Eukaryota; Metazoa; Chordata; Mammalia; Rodentia; Sciuridae
Description: Spermophilus tridecemlineatus (thirteen-lined ground squirrel) tRNA
Rfam family: tRNA
About the family: Transfer RNA (tRNA) molecules are approximately 80 nucleotides in length. Their secondary structure includes four short double-helical elements and three loops (D, anti-codon, and T loops). Further hydrogen bonds mediate the characteristic L-shaped molecular structure. tRNAs have two regions of fundamental functional importance: the anti-codon, which is responsible for specific mRNA codon recognition, and the 3' end, to which the tRNAs corresponding amino acid is attached (by aminoacyl-tRNA synthetases). tRNAs cope with the degeneracy of the genetic code in two manners: having more than one tRNA (with a specific anti-codon) for a particular amino acid; and 'wobble' base-pairing, i.e. permitting non-standard base-pairing at the 3rd anti-codon position.
Source: Rfam by way of RNAcentral
GGGGUUGUGGCUCAGUGGUAGAGUGCUUGCCUAGCAUGCAUGAGGCACUGGGUUUUAUAAUCAGCACCA